GCUGAGUCCGCUCUGGAGUGAAAUAAAGCUUGGUUUUGCCUUUGCUGAGUGAAACAGAACUUCGGUUUUGCCUUUGCUGGAUACUGAUCUGAUCGUCGCAAGUCUGGUGACCUGCUGCAGAAGAUCCUCUCUC
This is a long non-coding RNA of Maylandia zebra (zebra mbuna), 133 nucleotides long. RefSeq lists it as uncharacterized. NCBI's taxonomy places the organism in Eukaryota, Metazoa, Chordata, Actinopteri, Cichliformes, Cichlidae. The record is from RefSeq and is a predicted model, not a curated record.